CUCGCUCGGCAUUUACCUUAAAACCGCACACGUAUCGACACGGUAUCCUGGGUGCCCUUCGGGGUUGGAUGCUGGGAUGCGUGGAGGCCCAACC
This 94-nucleotide small RNA is filed under the name Halopseudomonas aestusnigri. Its description in RNAcentral is "Pseudomonas aestusnigri t44 RNA". It matches the Rfam family "t44 RNA". Rfam says of the family: This family consists of a number of bacterial RNA genes of between 135 and 170 bases in length. The t44 gene is found between the map and rpsB genes in all species in the full alignment apart from Shigella flexneri. Lineage: Bacteria; Pseudomonadati; Pseudomonadota; Gammaproteobacteria; Pseudomonadales; Pseudomonadaceae. The record is from RNAcentral.